This 274-nucleotide ribosomal RNA is filed under the name uncultured bacterium. Its description in RNAcentral is "partial 16S ribosomal RNA". It matches the Rfam family "Bacterial small subunit ribosomal RNA", at positions 523 to 796 of the family's 1533-position model. The record is from RNAcentral.
AUACGGAGGGUGCAAGCGUUACUCGGAAUCACUGGGCGUAAAGCGCGCGCAGGCGGCUAUUUAAGUUGGAAGUGAAAGCCUACGGCCCAACCGUAGAACUGCAUCCAAAACUAUUUAGCUAGAGUGUGGGAGAGGAAGAUGGAAUUAGUUGUGUAGGGGUAAAAUCCGUAGAGAUAACUAGGAAUACCAAAAGCGAAGGCAAUCUUCUGGAACACUACUGACGCUGAGGCGCGAAAGCGUGGGGAGCAAACAGGAUUAGAAACCCUAGUAGUCC